This is a long non-coding RNA of Parus major (Great Tit), 7866 nucleotides long. RefSeq lists it as uncharacterized. The record is from RefSeq and is a predicted model, not a curated record. The transcript has 3 exons. NCBI's taxonomy places the organism in Eukaryota, Metazoa, Chordata, Aves, Passeriformes, Paridae.
UUCUUAUGUGGACUUAUCUAGAUUUUCCUACACAGAGAUUCUCCUGUGGUAUAUUUAUAUCAGAUUUCCUGUUGUAUAUUUAUAUCACCCUUUAGAGUUUCCAUUAACACCAAAACAUUCAACCUUGAGCAGUUACAGUAACUGCACAGGACCUGGAAAGGAAAGCUCUCUAUUUAUAGUUUAGUAAAUCAGAAACCUACAUGGUAACACUUGUAAUUCAACAGUGGACUUUUAAAAAUGUAAACAGAGGAAUCAAAUCUAAAAUAGCAUUGAUUUUAGUUGAAGGGAAAAUACGUAAAGAUGAUGAAGUCAAUGAAAACCUGCCUGUUCACUCUAGGUAGACCUUAUUUUUGAAAAAAAACAAAACCCCAUAUGAAAAAUUGUAUGACAUUCUUUUUCUGAUUGGAGUAUCAUACUAAUUAUUACAAUAGACAAUACUAAUUAUUGUCCUUUUUUAUUAACUAGUGUUGUUGUUAAUGCAAGUUCUCUGUCUGUCUUCAUAAUUCAGCAGCUUGUUUAGCAGAUCACUACAAAUGCUCCAGGUUUGACUCGGAGAUGUUUUCCAAACAGGGUCAUUACUGUUGGGUAUCAAGAUGCUGUCAUCUGUGCAGUGGGCUCCCAGUCUUACUCUUGUGCCCAUAUCUGUCCAUGGCUCUGGGCAGUUGUUCUUUCUUGGUUCCAGCAGAGCUGCCUGAGAGCACCACUGGGUUCUGCUCAUGGCUUUCUGGAGACUCAGAGCUGCCCAGCACCUGGAAGUACUUGUUUGCCAGCCCCCUGCUCUGCUUUGUCAGCUCUCUUCAAUCUGCCUGUGGUUUUUGGCUCAUAUUCAUCCUUAAAAGCAAGAUGAUUCCCACCAAAAAUUUUUACUGAAGCAGUUGAGGGACCACUCACAAGAUCCCUUCCUUUGCCAGAGCUGAAGCAGUGGCAAACAAACAAAUGGAGUGACAGGAGCUGGAAUGGUACAGCUGUUUGCAAAGUGAAUUUCUGUGUGUGUAUAUAUAUGCAUAUAUAGGCAUGUGCAUUUUAUGAUCUGAUAAUUUCUCCUUCAGAAGAAAAAUGGUUCACAGUCUGCAGGGAGCAGACUCACCUCUGCUAUCUAGUAAAGGGGCUGUUUAUGCCACAGUCAGUGAAAAACAACGUCCCUUUCUUUAAAGAAGAGCUCUUUGAAGCCAGUCCACCAUGACUUUGUCUUGGGUUCAGGAGUUUAUUCUGUUUCUUUAGCCCAAGACAAAGACUUCCCUGAAUGAGUCACCCGACACCCCAAUGUCGUUCUUACUGGAUGUCUGAAGAACGAAAGAGGAUUGAGUUUUUAUUUUUAACAUACCCAUUUCCUUUGGCUGCUCUGUGAGUUGAGAAACCUUCAUUUGUGAUUCCAAUGCUGUAGGGUAACAAGUUUCCUAAAAUUCUCCAAAGGCAAGAGAUUUGCAGUCAUACUUUAUUAUAUGUUUAUAACUAUACUCGGGAAAACUUUGCAUGACCCAGAAAUGUUUGCCAAUAUUUAAGGGGAUUUGCUGAACAUCGAAUGGAUCUCUCUUACCAUUUAAUGAUGAUUUUUUGCACUCCAGAUACUGCUUUUUAUCUUGGUUCUUGAAAUAAGGCAUCUUUUCUCAAGUUCACCUCUUCUGUAGUAUGCAUAAACACUUAUUUACUGUUGGAAUUACUGAUUACUGAAUGAUUAAAUUUCUGAGUUGGAUGGAUUCAGUAAUCACUCAUAACAUCAGAUUAAGUCCUGCUUUUCAUACUUUGUUCUAAGAGUAUUUGGUAUAAUUAUUUUGGCAGUACACUUAAACCUAAGUCAGUGUUACUUAACAUAUAACAUAUCCUUGAUACAUGCUGGUCCAUUAAACAAAGGAAUGUGUUCAUAACCUCUUUCACAGACAAAUUAUAGAAGUAUUUGAGUGUCUGCAUUUGAAACAUUCUUUUGCUGUAGCCCACGUAGGACACUGAGUUCUUCUGACCACACUCCCAUGUGGGAUCUGGGUAGCUGUGCUGCCAUGGUAAAUCCUGUACUUGCUUUAAGGAAUAAGCUUGAUUUUGAACUUCAACAAAUGAAAGGUGAAAUUUUUUUCCUGUGCUUACAGCCCUUAUCUUUGGCCUGCAAAAGGAGAAACAACCAAGAAAUGCUGAAAGCGGGAAAAUCUGCUGCAUUCCAAAGGUAUUACUGCUAAGAACACAAAUAUGUGAAACACAGACAAUUGAAUAGCCAAGGACACCUUUUUGUAACUCACAUAACUCCUAAUUAUUUCAAAUGUCUUUAUUUUUCUAUUAUUAGGAGCUUGACUUGUGUAAAAUAUUGUGAGAUGAAAAUAUUGUUUCUACUGAAUAACUACAGGAUGUAUAGAAUUACCUAAAAAAUAUUAUUAUUUUGAUGAAAAUGUGUACUAGCCAUAACUAUAUAUUGAGACAUGUAAGUUCUUAUCAUACAUAUAAAGAAACUUAAAUUUUUCUGGCAGAUGGGAUAUGUAAUUCUAUUUCCAUUCCUUUCCUAACAGACAUUUUCUCAUUCAGUUCAGGCACAUUGCAUUGGUGUCCUUGUCAGACUUUCACUUUCUCAAAGGUGUUUAAACAAUUCUGAUGUCAAAGGGAAUUUGUUACCUAAAAUAUCACAGAGGAUAUGGGCAUAAACUCCUCAGGAAAAAAGACAAAAAAAACCCAGGAUUAAGCACAUUUCAAUUCCACUACAUUUGGUGGCAUUUUCCCAUGUACAACUAGCAUAAUUUGGUCUGAUAGCUAUUUGCAUAGUUGCUUUAAAAAAAACUUGGGGGGGAAGAAAAAAGAAAGCAAGGAUGAGGAAAAGCAGAGAACAUGAGCAAAGAGUCCUGUAAUUCCAGAGGAAAGUGAAGUCAAUUCUUUGAGGACUGGAGAAAGCUAAAGGAGGAACAGGAAGAAUCCCUAGAUGUGGUAAAGAAAAGUUCUUACAAGACUAAAAACAAAAUUUCAAAUGUUAGCAAUUACUUUCAAGGUGUUAUCAGCCAUCGCCGGUGUGUUGUCAUGGGGAGAAAAAGGCGUUGCAGCAUCAAAGGCAACAAGGAAUGUAAUGAAGAAAGAAAUUAAAGGAGUAAUUUGCAUCUAUUUGGUGGAACAAUCUUCAGAGGCACUUUUGUUAAUUAGAAGGUUUGAGCUGCACACAUUAGAGUACUGAGAGGCUGGUGGAAGUCUCCAGACGUUUCAAGGCAGCAAUUUGUGUGGUCACAGAACAUCUCUAUAGCAUCACGAUUUAUCAGUGAAUUGAGUUAUUUUUCCUUCAUUGCUUGAAAUUUGACCCUCAGAAGGAAAAAUGACCAGCUGCUUGCAGGAGCCUGUUUCUCUGAGCAAACAUAAUACUUAAAAGCUUGUAUUUUCUUCCAGGACUUUUGAUACUUCUUCUAUCCACUGGGGUGUGACGAUGAGUAUCCCUAGUCUUAAUUGUGACUGUUUGUUCAUCUUGUAUUGUGGGUUGUAUUAAUUUCUUAUUAUAGUUUCAUGAGUAUUUAGAGGUCUAGAUAUCUGUUCUGAAAAAAGUAAAUAAAUAAAAUAUACAUAAAGGGAGAAAGAGACUAAUUCCCUGUUCCACUAAAAUUAAUGAAGACAGGACAGCAAUCAAAUUUAGCAUACUUUCUGGUAGAGUUCAAGGCUUCAGAUGUUAGUCAGGUAGACUUUUUUUAUCAUUAGCAUCUAAAAUUUCAAAUGACAGGAGAUGAGUUCUUAAAUCCAUGUAUAUUUUAUAAAUCAAGAAAAAGUCUUGAUUUAUCUAGACUUCUUUACGUAUAACAGAUUUGAAUAAAACCAAAUUUGUUAUUCUAUAGACUUUUUUUACCAAUAGACAUAUAACUUUUCAUCCUUUAUAUAGGACCUCCCUCAGUCUGAAUGCCUUUUCCUUCCUUUCUACCUCAUAUUUCCUUCAUCUGGGAUAUUCUCUGGUCCCCACAUUCUCCAUUCUCUGGCUGUGUCUCCUACUUCAGAAUCUAGCAUGUCCCUGCCCCUUUCCUGUGCACCCAGCUCUAUUCCUUUGGAGGAUAAUUGCCUGCAACCACUUCACCAACAAACAACGCUUCCCGUCCGGUCUCACAGCCUUGCUGGAGUCAAAUUGAUUCAGAGCCUAAAAUUAUCCCUGCGGUCAACUCCACUGACAUAAAUACAGGGGAUUUAACUCUGUGUUUUCCUUUCAAACACGAUUUUUAAAAAUUUCAGUCUUAUGUAUGUUUUCAAAACAUUUUCAUUGAAAAGUAUGAAAGCAAAAACUCAUUCAUUCCUUUUGAGUAAUACCUAUUCUUUGCACCCAGCAGCUGUUGCAAAUAUUAAAAUCUUUUUUUAAAAUCAAAACAAGCUCACUGCUUUCACAGCUCACUUGCUUUUCCCCUCAUUACCGAUCUUUUGCUGUAACCAUGGAUCUAUCUGUAAUGACGUCUUUUGUGUGUACUAAACUUUGUAUUGCUGAAAAAGCACUGACCAAACUUGUCUGGAAGUCUCAGAUGAAGAUUGCUUAAAGGAUGUGGCUGAAACAAAAAGGUGUUUCUACCAUUCCAUAAAUAAAUCCUCCUAAGUGUAAAUUGUGACCAUUCCUCUCUCCAUCUGAACAAUUCAGAUUUUUCAGAGAGCUGCUUUUAUGUAAGAUUAGAGAGCUGUCUCCUUGACAUGAUGCUCUGCUUCUCUUCACCAUUAGUUGGGCGUUAGUUGUUCUGGCUGUAAAUAGACAGGCACAGAUGGUACCACGACUCUCCGAGCCUCCACACAUCUUGCACUGCAAGGAUUUUUGUUAUUCUUGCUAUGUCUCUAGCAGCUCCUACUCUUUCCUAACAGUUUGUUGAGAAGAAAAAUGGAAGGCUAAAGAACAAUCAGUCCCUUUCCUCUCUAGGAUUGCUGAAGUCUUUGGACAGGACAGCAGCAUUAAUUUUUACUUUUUGUUUUUGCUAGGGGAACCCAGCCAUGGGCUCAUCAAUGAAGCAAAAAUUCUGCCAUCUUCCUUAGGUGAAGUCAGUCAUUCCCAAGACAGCUGAGAUGCCUGAGACAGACUAGAUGUCCCAAAAGCAUUAAAUUGUGAGACUCAAGUGGUACAUCCUCCCUCAGUUCCCUACAGCUCUGAUCACCACAGCUGAAGCACUAUGGCAGAUAAAAGAGAAGCUGAUAUCUCGAAAGACUGUCUCAUUGCACAGGAACAGCGUUUGCAGGAAAACAAGCUGGAACAAUUAGCAAUGCUGAAUCGGGAGAGAGCGUGGAUAAGAAGGAUGUGACAGAUUCAUACUCCCCGCUCCUCAUGUCUGUCAUGGAGAAGUCUUGGGGAAUGGAAGAAUCAGUGACAUGGUAAUGGGUGGACUGUUCACCUGCUCCUUGACAACAAUUCCUGCAUUUUCACCUAUGAAGCUACUAACAAGAAGAAAAUGGAUAAAGUUCCAGGAAAUUUGUCUCAUGAGGAUUAGACAUGCUGCCAUCUGCAAUACAGACAUUUCUAUCAGCGGAUAUGGCCAGGAAAACCUGCUGUUUGUGAGUAAUUUAUUUUAAAAAUAAGUACUGUCUCUUAAAAGUGUAACUGGAGAGUGACAUGUAGCUCUAAAACUAAUCUUCUAGUUAGAAGCAGAAAAUAACGCACAUCAGUGACUAUCUGUAAGGCAAGUAGCAUGGGCAUGAAGAGGGAUGCUCUUCCACUCCCAGCCUAAAUGCAACUUUUGAACUUCAGUUCCACAGCAGUGCUCAGACCAUUGGCUGGGACCACCAGCUGCAGAUUCUCAAAUGUCUCCUUGCGGGUCUUCAGCCAAGGUUCCAGCUCCAUUCACCUGCGCUGGAGUGUGAACCUCCCCUUUGUUCACAUGGUAGAGAGAACCCGCAAUUGCAAGGGGCCAGGGAAGGGAACAGACACUCAAUCUACUAAAAUGGGAAGGGCAAGCCAGCAUGGGUCAGAUUAAAGGUCAGGAUCAGACAGUUCCCUUAUCCCACAGGAACAACCUGGGCAGGCACUGAAGCUUUCACAUGUGCCCCUGAAUGAGGCACAGAUCUUCUGUGACAAACUGCUAACCAAGGGAGUAAAACAGAGAUUAUAAUCAGUAAAGUACAUGACUCUUCUGGUUUCUCUCUUAGCACUACGUUUUUUUUGUGCCACCAAGAGGCAUAUAAACUGACAUCAACUCCUUAAGAUACUUGCUCUAAUGACAGGGCUUUAGUCACUCCUAGCUGCACCCUUGCUUUAGCUUCAGAUGAGUUUGUUACCUUUGUAAAUACUGCUUGGGUAGUAAUGCAUUAGGCACAAACAGUAACUGCCAAUUAUCAUCUUUUCCCACAAAUCCACAAAGGGAGGAGAAUUUUGUCCCCUCUGUCAGAGACAGGCCACAAAAAGAUCACUGUUUCAGUGCCGGCACAACUGAGAGGGCAAGAAUUCUGUGGCCAGGAGGCUGAGGGCAGAACUAGAGAAGAAAUCUCUUAUAAAGGCAAGAAAAAGUUCAACUACUUACAGUUUGUGAAAAUGGUAAGCAAACAGUUCAACACUUAAUGCCCUAAUUCUACUGAUUGAGUCAUAAGUCUUAGUGUGACAAAUGAAUGAAAGCCUUUUUAUGCAGAAAUGCCCAGUAUCUGGCUGGUCUGAAGGAAACAACCAGAGAGGUGUUUUAAGGUUCUUGUCUGAUUUUAAGGCAGGGCCAACCUUUUCUCUAAAAAUUAUGGCUUUUUAAUAGGGCACCACUUAACAUCUGGCAAUUUGUACUUCUAGAUCAGAGAAUUAAUAAAUACUGGCACUGAAAACAGAGAAAAUGUCUUCCCAUGCCCAUACAUCUCCCUGUCCUAUUGACAAAAGCUUAAGGACAGUCCAUUGUCCACCCUCAGUCAGUGGUCAGAGUGAUAUUUCUGGAGGCUUGUGCUACACAAAAUCCAUGGAAGAAAAACAAUCCUCUUGUCUUAGCUAAUGGGAGAACACAAUGUAAAGCACUGCCCUGCUUUCUGAGAGCAGGACACAUACCAGCUGACUCAAUUUUCUUCUUCCAGAUUGUCAUUCUUAUACAUAUACACCUACUAGAGCUAUUUUUCAGGCCAGGACUCGGAGCAAGCUCAGGGGAGUCUGCUGAGCACAGGCCACAGUGGAGCCAUUAAAGGGGCACUGUCCCACAGUGAUAAGACAUCAACAGGAACUUACCAGGAGAAUGUAAUCCAGAGGGCACAUACAUGACACAGUACAGGAGAGAGUUGGGAGAAAUUUUUGGGAAAUUAGCAGAAGAGAACGAUUUAUUUUCAAAAAUAAUUCCUUUACAAAUAAAAGAUCUAAUCAAAGGAAGUGCUGAGAAAUACUGGCCUCUUGAACCCAGCAAUUACUCUGGGAGAAGACAUAAACACUCUGCAUUGGCUCAACCUGUUCUUCAUCCCCCCCAGAAAACAGAGUUCUGGGGCAGCUCUUUCAUUAAUAUUUCACUGUACAGCUUGCUAUGCAACCUGCAGCUUGAGGCCAGUUGUGUGGCCAUUCCUGUCCAUAAUGGCCUGAUUCACUCCAGCCCAUGUAAAUCAGUAAGAAAUAUUCUCACAGGGAAAAUGAGGUCCUGGAGAAGGCUCUGAAUACAGCAGAUAAAUCAGCAGUGAUGUUGGCAUUGCAUAAAGGGCAGGGUGAAUAAUAAUAGCAACAAAGAACUCCCAGCAUCCUUAAAAUGUGGCAGGGGUUAGGCUUUGCCACCAAGACAGUUGUUCAGGAGAGAUUUAAAUAUUUUGAAGGAAAGCUCAGUAGAGCAAUCACGCAGGGAGCUACUAAAAGGCUCUGUUUCAGCUGUAGCCCUGAGUGUUGGGCUCUGGCUGAGAAUGCUGCCACAGAGCAUGGCCUCUUCAGCAUUUCACUCAUCUCCAAGCAUACACAUCCAAUAGUCCACCACCUUGUUGCAUGUGGUUCAAUCCAUACUGGUGGGCUGUGAAAACUGAAGC